AGAGUUUGAUCAUGGCUCAGAUUGAACGCUGGCGGCAGGCCUAACACAUGCAAGUCGAGCGGUAGCACAGAGAGCUUGCUCUCGGGUGACGAGCGGCGGACGGGUGAGUAAUGUCUGGGAAACUGCCUGAUGGAGGGGGAUAACUACUGGAAACGGUAGCUAAUACCGCAUAACGUCGCAAGACCAAAGUGGGGGACCUUCGGGCCUCAUGCCAUCAGAUGUGCCCAGAUGGGAUUAGCUGGUAGGUGGGGUAACGGCUCACCUAGGCGACGAUCCCUAGCUGGUCUGAGAGGAUGACCAGCCACACUGGAACUGAGACACGGUCCAGACUCCUACGGGAGGCAGCAGUGGGGAAUAUUGCACAAUGGGCGCAAGCCUGAUGCAGCCAUGCCGCGUGUGUGAAGAAGGCCUUCGGGUUGUAAAGCACUUUCAGCGGGGAGGAAGGCGGUGAGGUUAAUAACCUCAUCGAUUGACGUUACCCGCAGAAGAAGCACCGGCUAACUCCGUGCCAGCAGCCGCGGUAAUACGGAGGGUGCAGCGUUAAUCGGAAUUACUGGGCGUAAAGCGCACGCAGGCGGUCUGUCAAGUCGGAUGUGAAAUCCCCGGGCUCAACCUGGGAACUGCAUUCGAAACUGGCAGGCUAGAGUCUUGUAGAGGGGGGUAGAAUUCCAGGUGUAGCGGUGAAAUGCGUAGAGAUCUGGAGGAAUACCGGUGGCGAAGGCGGCCCCCUGGACAAAGACUGACGCUCAGGUGCGAAAGCGUGGGGAGCAAACAGGAUUAGAUACCCUGGUAGUCCACGCUGUAAACGAUGUCGAUUUGGAGGUUGUGCCCUUGAGGCGUGGCUUCCGGAGCUAACGCGUUAAAUCGACCGCCUGGGGAGUACGGCCGCAAGGUUAAAACUCAAAUGAAUUGACGGGGGCCCGCACAAGCGGUGGAGCAUGUGGUUUAAUUCGAUGCAACGCGAAGAACCUUACCUGGUCUUGACAUCCACAGAACUUUCCAGAGAUGGAUUGGUGCCUUCGGGAACUGUGAGGACAGGUGCUGCAUGGCUGUCGUCAGCUCGUGUUGUGAAAUGUUGGGUUAAGUCCCGCAACGAGCGCAACCCUUAUCCUUUGUUGCCAGCGGUUAGGCCGGGAACUCAAAGGAGACUGCCAGUGAUAAACUGGAGGAAGGUGGGGGAUGACGUCAAGUCAUCAUGGCCCUUACGACCAGGGCUACACACGUGCUACAAUGGCAUAUACAAAGAGAAGCGACCUCGCGAGAGCAAGCGGACCUCAUAAAGUAUGUCGUAGUCCGGAUUGGAGUCUGCAACUCGACUCCAUGAAGUCGGAAUCGCUAGUAAUCGUAGAUCAGAAUGCUACGGUGAAUACGUUCCCGGGCCUUGUACACACCGCCCGUCACACCAUGGGAGUGGGUUGCAAAAGAAGUAGGUAGCUUAACCUUCGGGAGGGCGCUUACCACUUUGUGAUUCAUGACUGGGGUGAAGUCGUAACAAGGUAACCGUAGGGGAACCUGCGGUUGGAUCACCU
RNAcentral lists this ribosomal RNA (1529 nucleotides) under Klebsiella variicola. Its description in RNAcentral is "bacterial SSU rRNA". It matches the Rfam family "Bacterial small subunit ribosomal RNA". Lineage: Bacteria; Pseudomonadati; Pseudomonadota; Gammaproteobacteria; Enterobacterales; Enterobacteriaceae. The record is from RNAcentral.